CGUUGCCUCACCGCCAAUAACCUGCGUGUCACGUCAAGAGAAAAUUUAAAAAAUGCAGUUCGACCCUGAAAAAAGAAGAUUUCAAUACCAAAUUCUUUUGCGCUUCGGAUCCGUUGAAAUCCAGAGGUUCAGCCAGAGAACUGAAAAAAACAUACCAACAAUAGUAGCUGACUUCGUCACCACCCAUGUGGACAUAGGGAUCGGGAAAGGUAUUAAAGAUUUCACCGAAAAAUUGCUGUAAGAAAACGUAGUUCUCUUCCCACGAGUGGGCAUAAUAGCACCGUACUCAUCGGGCACUUUGAGUAUUCCGUUGUCGUCGUAACAUUCGGUCAACAGUCUCGGCUGUCCUCGGCCCCAAGAUUGUGUAUGGUCUAUCAUCGAAAUCAAAUUGUUGAAUCACAACUGUAAAGUUUGAAUUUAGGAAAAUAAUAAACCUGGACUAUCGAAUUCAGGAAUGACCCGAAUGCCUCUCAACCGCGCAUAUUCAAUGACUUCGCGGACAUCGUUGGCAGUGUAGAUGUGACUGAACGGCUGGAAAGAUCCGUAACGACUAAUAUUUGGAAAAAGUGUACUCUCGUAGGGGAAUGAAGCGUCGUCAGUCAAAUGCCAGUGCAAGACGUUCAUCUUAUUCUGGGCCAGCAGGUCCGUCAUCUUCUUUAUCGUUUUCAACGGCAUGUAAUGACGUGCCGUGUCCAUCAUAAAUCCGCGAUAAGAAAAACGCGGAAAAUCGUUUUGGAUUUCAUCUUACUGCGACGCCCGUUUCAGCAGAGGAGUAGACGAGUUGACUUAGAGUUUCCAUGCCACGCAAAAUACCCCAGACGCUAUCGCUAGUGAUUGUUGCCUUGAGCGGAUUAUCGGCCGUGUCAAUUUUGAUAUUAUCUAUAGAAGACACCAAAAACAUGUUUGUUUUGUUUACAUGAUUGAACUGCAUCCGUGCUUUUAUCUCACGACCAUCAAUUUUCUAUAUGUAUACGUACAGGACUCGAGCAUAUCGGCAGACGGGAGGUAUUCGCAAGGCUGUUUUAAAUCGAUUUCAACUGAAUCGAGAAAUGCUCGAAAUUGCGGAUGCUCUUGGAUUGGAGUCGGUGGCGGAGGGUAAGACAGGGGAAUACGUCCAGCAUCCCCCGGAUAAAAGAUGAUUUGGUAAUAACGACGUACGGCUUCGUCAAUGAUAUCACACCGUUCACCAACGACCUAAAAUUGGUGAAGCAAAAGUUUUUCUGUUACAAUAUCGUGUUAUCCAACAGUUUAGUGGAAAUAAGACCAACAUUGGAUGGAUUCAUUAGGAUAAAUACCUGAAAUUGGAACAUGGUAGGCCUGAGAACGAAAAACGUUUCGCUGGAUGUUUGCUGCUGGGGUUUCGGCCACACUUGGCCAACGGUUGGAAGGAUCCAACGUCCGUACCAGGGGAUAACAAACGGAACCGAUUCCGAUGGCGCCCAUUGCAUUGACGCCACGUAGCAAAAGACUAACAAUAAAACGUUCAUGAUGUCCUCGAUUAGCACACGGAAACUGAACCGAAAUACGAGUGCUACUUUUGCUAGUCAGUGGGAUCACACUGAAUAACACUUUCCCGUCCUCCCUAAACGUAGAUAAGUUACUGCUGUGGCAUGAAAAACAGGAUUAUCGUGUCAGAUUACAAACGUCUUUUUCAAAUGGCCCGACCGUUACAAGAAGGUGCUCGAAAUUAUUGAAUUUCUACACUUCCGGAUCGUUUUUGGGGCCGCAGCUAUUUUCGCUAACUUGUGAUGAUGCCGGUAUGGCUUUUCUGAAUUUUUUACAUUAAUUAUCUAGGCGAUUCGAAAUGAUGUGAUGUGAUUAAAACAAGAACACUUUCUUUGCUAUUGCUGGCAGUUAACUAAGGAAAUGCUUAUCUACAGUAUUAAUCAAGGAUAAGAUAAUGUUCAUAGAAGAUGACAACAAUACUUGCAGAGUAGAGAAUCACGGCGAAAAUAACUGAAGGAUGAAGAAUGUCAACGAUGCAACUCAGCCAUCCAACGGAAUGUCGAACAAAGGAAUGAAAUGAAUUUCAGGCAAGUUUCCGCUAUUGGAUUGAAGAGAAUCAAAUAAACAAUGUAAAUUUUGUAA
Long non-coding RNA from Daphnia magna, 2088 nucleotides. RefSeq lists it as uncharacterized. The transcript has 3 exons. NCBI's taxonomy places the organism in Eukaryota, Metazoa, Arthropoda, Branchiopoda, Diplostraca, Daphniidae. The record is from RefSeq and is a predicted model, not a curated record.